GGCGGUAUGCUUAACACAUGCAAGUCGAACGGCAGCAUCAUUUGUAGCAAUACAGAUGGAUGGCGAGUGGCGGACGGGUGAGUAAUACGUAGGAAUCUACCUUAAAGUGGGGGGUAACUCGAGGAAACUCGAGCUAAUACCGCAUAAUAUCUUAGGAUUAAAGCUGGCCCCGGACUUGUUCCGGGGCUGGCGCUUUAGGAGGAGCCUGCGUCUGAUUAGCUAGUUGGUAGGGUAAAGGCCUACCAAGGCGACGAUCAGUAGCUGGUCUGAGAGGAUGAUCAGCCACACUGGGACUGAGACACGGCCCAGACUCUUACGGGAGGCAGCAGUGGGGAAUAUUGGACAAUGGGGGCAACCCUGAUCCAGCAAUACCGCGUGUGUGAAGAAGGCCUUCGGGUUGUAAAGCACUUUAGGUGGGGAAGAAGGCCUAUAGUUUAAGAGAUGAUAGGUUUGACUGUACCCCGCAGAAUAAGCACCGGCUAACUCUGUGCCAGCAGCCGCGGUAAUACAGANGGUGCAAGCGUUAAUC
Molecule: ribosomal RNA, 529 nt
Filed under: uncultured Gammaproteobacteria bacterium
Lineage: Bacteria; Pseudomonadati; Pseudomonadota; Gammaproteobacteria
Description: bacterial SSU rRNA
Rfam family: Bacterial small subunit ribosomal RNA
Source: RNAcentral